Molecule: ribosomal RNA, 429 nt
Filed under: Chloroflexota bacterium
Lineage: Bacteria; Bacillati; Chloroflexota
Description: Chloroflexi bacterium partial 16S ribosomal RNA
Rfam family: Bacterial small subunit ribosomal RNA
Source: RNAcentral
UGGGGAAUAUUGCACAAUGGGCGCAAGCCUGAUGCAGCCAUGCCGCGUGUAUGAAGAAGGCCUUCGGGUUGUAAAGUACUUUCAGCGGGGAGGAAGGGAGUAAAGUUAAUACCUUUACUCAUUGACGUUACCCGCAGAAGAAGCACCGGCUAACUCCGUGCCAGCAGCCGCGGUAAUACGGAGGGUGCAAGCGUUAAUCGGAAUUACUGGGCGUAAAGCGCACGCAGGCGGUUUGUUAAGUCAGAUGUGAAAUCCCCGGGCUUAACCCGGGAAUUGCAUCUGAUACUGGUCAGCUAGAGUCUUGUAGAGGGGGGUAGAAUUCCAUGUGUAGCGGUGAAAUGCGUAGAGAUGUGGAGGAAUACCGGUGGCGAAGGCGGCCCCCCGUACAAAGACUGACACUCAGGUGCGAAAGCGUGGGGAGCAAACAGG